GAAUAGUUUAGAUGGAUAAAACAUACCUCUCAUGAGGGUCAGUCAAAGGUUCAACUCCUUUUUC
Molecule: transfer RNA, 64 nt
Filed under: Gloeophyllum trabeum ATCC 11539
Lineage: Eukaryota; Fungi; Basidiomycota; Agaricomycetes; Gloeophyllales; Gloeophyllaceae
Rfam family: tRNA
About the family: Transfer RNA (tRNA) molecules are approximately 80 nucleotides in length. Their secondary structure includes four short double-helical elements and three loops (D, anti-codon, and T loops). Further hydrogen bonds mediate the characteristic L-shaped molecular structure. tRNAs have two regions of fundamental functional importance: the anti-codon, which is responsible for specific mRNA codon recognition, and the 3' end, to which the tRNAs corresponding amino acid is attached (by aminoacyl-tRNA synthetases). tRNAs cope with the degeneracy of the genetic code in two manners: having more than one tRNA (with a specific anti-codon) for a particular amino acid; and 'wobble' base-pairing, i.e. permitting non-standard base-pairing at the 3rd anti-codon position.
Source: Rfam by way of RNAcentral